This 72-nucleotide transfer RNA is filed under the name bacterium. RNAcentral's name for it is "tRNA-Thr". It matches the Rfam family "tRNA". Rfam says of the family: Transfer RNA (tRNA) molecules are approximately 80 nucleotides in length. Their secondary structure includes four short double-helical elements and three loops (D, anti-codon, and T loops). Further hydrogen bonds mediate the characteristic L-shaped molecular structure. tRNAs have two regions of fundamental functional importance: the anti-codon, which is responsible for specific mRNA codon recognition, and the 3' end, to which the tRNAs corresponding amino acid is attached (by aminoacyl-tRNA synthetases). tRNAs cope with the degeneracy of the genetic code in two manners: having more than one tRNA (with a specific anti-codon) for a particular amino acid; and 'wobble' base-pairing, i.e. permitting non-standard base-pairing at the 3rd anti-codon position. The record is from RNAcentral.
GCUUCUGUAGCUCAGUGGUAGAGCAUUCGUUUAGUAAGCGAAAGGUCUUGAGAUCAAAACUCAACAGGAGCA